AGCCGGCAAAGUCCGAUCCCCACCUCCCCAUGGUGCCGGCUGGGUGCAGUAGACCCUCUCUUGUGUGGGUUGCAGCCAACGGGGGCGG
Non-coding RNA from Anopheles farauti, 88 nucleotides. Lineage: Eukaryota; Metazoa; Arthropoda; Insecta; Diptera; Culicidae. The record is from Rfam.